RNAcentral lists this ribosomal RNA (465 nucleotides) under uncultured bacterium. RNAcentral's name for it is "partial 16S ribosomal RNA". It matches the Rfam family "Bacterial small subunit ribosomal RNA", at positions 28 to 506 of the family's 1533-position model. The record is from RNAcentral.
GAUGAACGCUGGCGGCGUGCUUAACACAUGCAAGUCGAACGAGGAAGCCCAGCUUGCUGGGUGGAUUAGUGGCGAACGGGUGAGUAACACGUGAGUAACCUGCCCUUAACUCUGGGAUAAGCCUGGGAAACUGGGUCUAAUACCGGGUAGGAGCGUCCACCGCAUGGUGGGUGUUGGAAAGAUUUAUCGGUUUUGGAGGGACGCGCGGCCUAUCAGCUGGUUGGUGAGGUACUGGAUCACCAAGGCGACGCCGGGACGCCGGCCUGAGAGGGGGACCGGCCACACUGGGACUGAGAGACGGCCCAGACUCCUCCGGGAGGGAGAGGUGGGGAAUAUUGCACAAUGGGCGCAAGCGGGUUGCAGCGACGCCGCGUGAGGGAGGACGGCCUUCGGGUUGUAAACAUCUUUCAGUAGGGAAGAAGCGAAAUGGACGGAACCUGCAGAAGAAGCACCGCCUACCUACGG